Molecule: ribosomal RNA, 970 nt
Filed under: human gut metagenome
Description: bacterial LSU rRNA
Rfam family: Bacterial large subunit ribosomal RNA
Source: RNAcentral
AGGUAGCGAAAUUCCUUGUCAGGUAAGUUCUGACCCGCACGAAAGGUGUAACGAUUUGGGCGCUGUCUCGGCAGCAGACUCGGUGAAAUCUUAGUACCUGUGAAAAUGCAGGUUACCCGCAACUAGACGGAAAGACCCCAUGGAGCUUUACUGCAGCCUGAUAUUGAAUUCUGGUCAUACAUGUACAGGAUAGGUGGGAGACAAAGAGACGUGCACGCCAGUGUACGAGGAGUCGGCGUUGGGAUACCACUCUUGUGUGACCGGGGUUCUAACCUGGUAUCGAGAACAGGUACGGGGAGAGUGUCAGGUGGGCAGUUUGACUGGGGCGGUCGCCUCCCAAAGAGUAACGGAGGCGCCCAAAGGUACGCUCAGAUUGGAUGGAAACCAAUCGUCGAGUGCAAUUGCAGAAGCGUGCUUGACUGUGAGACAGACAAGUCGAACAGGGACGAAAGUCGGGAAUAGUGAUCCGGCGGUGCCGAAUGGAAGGGCCGUCGCUCAACGGAUAAAAGCUACCCUGGGGAUAACAGGCUGAUCUCGCCCAAGAGUUCACAUCGACGGCGAGGUUUGGCACCUCGAUGUCGGCUCAUCGCAUCCUGGAGCUGGAUUCGGUUCCAAGGGUUGGGCUGUCCGCCCAUUAAAGCGGUACGCGAGCUGGGUUCAGAACGUCGUGAGACAGUUCGGUCCCUAUCUGUUGUGGGCGAAGGAGAUCUGCGGAGAGCUGUCCUCAGUACGAGAGGACCGGGAUGGACCUACCGCUGGUGCACCGGUUGUUCCGCCAGGGGCAUAGCCGGGUAGCUAAGUAGGGAAAGGAUAAGCGCUGAAAGCAUCUAAGCACGAAGCCUACUCCAAGAUGAGAUCUCCCAUUCGCAAGAAGUAAGACCCCUUAAAGACGAUAAGGUAGAUAGGCCAGGGAUGGAAGUGCAGUGAUGUACGGAGUUGACUGGUACUAAUCGGUCGAGGACUUAAUCAG